Molecule: long non-coding RNA, 4719 nt
Filed under: Podarcis lilfordi (Lilford's wall lizard)
Lineage: Eukaryota; Metazoa; Chordata; Lepidosauria; Squamata; Lacertidae
Source: RNAcentral
GAGUGCUUUGUUUACCUCCUGUCUGCCAGGUUACCUGUUUAAUGGUCAUUUGAUUGGAUAACCUGGGGAGCCUGGCCAGUCUUUUGUAAUGAUAAAUACUUAGUUCCUGAGCCAGGUCACAGGCUCACACCCUGUUCGUAUCUUAAAUAUGCCCUUAAGACAGGAUUUGUGAAGGAAAAAGACAAUGGGGCGGUUUCCCACUUUGACCUUGCAGAGAAAUAAUUGAGGUAAGUUUGUUCAGGCCUUUUUUUCUGUGGGGUUUUCAGACAUAUGGUUUAUAUAUUUAUGUACAUGUUUGCUUGGUAUAUUUAUGAACAUUUAUUACAUAUCUAAGACCUUAAAAUUCUUAUCACAGGGUUUUAGAAGACAUCUGAAGGCAACCCUGUAUAGGCAAUUUGUAAAUGUUUAAGUGUCUUGCUGUGUUUUUAUAUUUUCUUGGAAGCUGCCCAGAGUGGCUGGGGCAACCCAGUCAGACAGGUAGGAUACAAAUAAUAAAAUAUUUUUUCAUACCCUCUAACAUCUAUCCAGCGAAAAUAUGGCCAUCCCAUUCCAUAAUGAUAAUUUUACAAUUUAUACCCCACACAUCUUACCAGGUUGCCCCAGCCACUCUGGGCAGCUUCCAACAUAUAUAAUAACAUAAAACCUUUUUAAAAACUUCCCUAUACAGAAUUGCCUUCAGAUAACCUACACAGGGACAUCCUAAGGAAAAGCGGGACAUUCCAGGAUCAAAUCAGAAACUGGAGCAGCUUCUCUAAAUCAGGGAUGUUGUUGGAAAAUAGGGACACUUGGAUGUUCAGAUAAAAACUGGUCUGUCACAAUCACAACAGAUGAUUUGUGAAAACAAACAAAUCAGAGGGCAAUUUGAGGGAAAAGCCGGGCUGGUCCUCUUCCCAUUUAGCUCUGACAGACUGAUAUCAUUAGAUCAGGAGGGAAGUGGAGCUCAUUCUGGGCACCUUUUUAAGAACAACAAGCUAAGAAAAUGUUUUAUGACCUAGAUUAGCAAAACCUUGCCUGAAUUCUAACCUGAGGUGUCAAGAGGAACCCUCUUCAUGUCAGCUAAAUUGACUGUUUAUGGAUCUCGGCCAGGAAAGCUUGACGGAAGCAAUGUCAGGAAUGCUGGAGAGGUCAGCUGUGUGACUAGUGAGCUGACAUUUCCUGAAGAUGUGAGGCAUAAUCUGAGAGCUAUGUUAACAGUUAAAUAUUUGUUGGAGGUGGACAGAAAAUGAUCAGAGACAGGAUUCCCCUCUUUAUUUUUCACCUCCCAUUGUUGUUUAGCAGCGAGGCAUUAUCUUAAAUAAAAACACACACACACCCAAAGCUCAGCAAAGAACGAGGAUGGAAUGCCAUUGUGCUUCUUUUGCAAAUUCAUGGUUUUGUGCAAUCUUUGUCAGCGCUUAGGAAGCUGCCUUAUAUCAAACCACAGGCUAGGUCUAUGUAGCUCAGUAUUAUCUCCACCCCCUCCCAAUUUUUUGUUUUUAUUUUUUAUUUUGACAAAGUACUAAUCAUAAAUAAUUAAGAAUAAAAACGUGCACCCCACCCCCAAGACCAUUCCAUUGUAACUACCCAACCUCCCAAAACUUCAAGACCUCUUGUGAUUGUUUGACCCCUUUCUGUUUUAACAGUACUUCUACAAACACCCUCCGUAUCUCCUCAAAACCAUUUCUCCUGUAUAUUCCCUAUCUUACCUUAAUGACACAUGUUAAUUUACCAUUAAUAGCUAUAUCCCACGCCUCUUUAUACCAUUCUGCCAUUUUAUAUUCUGCUUGCCCCUUCCACUUCCUAUCUAUCAUAAUUUGUGCAGCUUUCAAUAAAUUUGUGAGCGAGUCCUUCAUAGCCUGCGAAACUUCCACCCCAUCGUAAACUGAUAAUAAUGCUACCUCUGGACUUUCGGUCAGCUUUAACCCAGUGAUUUCUGUUAUCUCCUUAAACAUCCUUUGCCAGAAAAAUUGUACAUAUUUACACCCCCACCACAUGUGAGCGUAAUUCCCGGUUUCCUGGCAUCCCCUCCAACAUAACAUCGAAUAUUCCUUGUUUAUUUGAUUUAAUCUGACUGGUGUUAAAUACCAUCUCCAAGCUAAUUUAUAAUAAUUUUCUUUUAUUCUUAUAGACUCAGUAUUAUCUACAACAGGGGUUGCCAACUUUUAGACUGAAGACUUCUUCGCAGCCAGGAAGCAGUGGUAUGGGGGCAUCCACUUGCACACACCUUCCUGGGACCCAGUGUGGUGUAGUCGUUAAGCGUAGUAGACUCGUAAUCUGGUGAACUGGGUUCAUGUCUCUGCUCCUCCACAUGCAGCUGCUGGGUGACCUUGGGCUAGUCACACUCCUCUGAAGUCUCUCAGCCUCACUCACCUCACAGAGUGUUUGUUGUGGGGGAGGAAGGGAAAGGAGCUGCUUUGAGACUCCUUAGGGUAGUGAUAAAGUGGGAUAUCAAAUCCAAAGUCUUCCUUCAGGAAAGGCAUCUUCUGUACCACAUGAUUACAUCAGUGGCUUGGACCACCUAUUACUCCCAGCCGGUGGCUUGGGUUGGUUCACCAGCUAUGGCCAGUCCAGGACAGGAAUAGCCUUCCCACAGCAGCCCACACACUAGUAACUUCACACCUGGAGUACUGUAAUACAUUGCAUGUGGGGCUAUUCUUGUGCCUGAUUUGGAAGCUACGACAAGUGCCAACCACCACCCCCUCCCUUGUUUUGGAGUUGCGGGGGGAUCUUUGCACCACGGUGCCGGAUAUGCUUGAGCAACAGUGUGUAGAACUCAGCAGUGUGUGAGGCCAAACAAACAGAAGAGUCUCCGAUAUAGGUUUGGCAGAGUCGGCAUGCAAUGUUAAGUCUGUUCCAAGGGUUGGGCAAACAACAAUCCACAUAGUCAGACCAUCCAGCGGUCGGGGAAUCUGAUGAUCAUGAAGCCAAGGGUCCAGAUGGCGAACAAGAAGCAACAAGGUAGAACCGGGAACCACAGGCGUUGUUUCCAGCAUCUGUCUGCUGCUGGGAGCUCUGCUUAAGAAGGCUGAAGCCAGCUGGUUCUCAUCAGCGCCUUCUCCUCUGUGUCCUUGAAGGCUGACUAGCUGCAGGUGGAGGUCAUUUCACCUUUAUGCUGCUGUUCUCCUGGUUCAUGACAGGGGAGCGUGUAUGGCCUAGAGCAGUGAUGGCCAAACUUGGCCCUCCAGCUAUUUUGGGACUACAACUCCCAUCAUCCUUAGCUAACAGGACCAGUGGUCAGGGAUGUUGGGAAUUGUAGUCCCAAAACAGAUGGAGGGCCAAGUUUGGCCAUCACUGGCCUGGAAGGUGUCCCAAGGUCCAGCCUUCUGGUCUGAGGUUCCUCGCAUUCCCCACGUUUCACAUGCAAUCCCAAGAGAAUAAUUGCUUUUGGAGCAAUCCCUUGAGGACGGUCUGAUCCUGUAUUUCCCACCUUGAUCACCAAGAUCCUCUCAUGGGGCACUUCUGGUGGUUCCCACACCCCUGAGGUUCAGCUGGCCUUCACUAGGGACUGAGCUUUUCUUGUGGCAGGCCAUGCCCUCUGGAACUAUGCUUUUAAAACUAUGCUGAAAAGGGGCAACGGUGAUGUUUCAGCUACUAAAUCUGGAGCUCAUGGCCCAUUUCAAGCAGCAAGCAUGUCAGUGACCGAUUUGACAGAAAAGCUGGUACAAAAUGAACAGCUGGUAGCAUGACUCAAAAGAACUUGUCAGGGAAAAGGAUAAUGAGUUAUGCCUUAAAGAACAACAAUUAAAGAAAGAAAAAGAAGCAACUGAAAACCAAGAUUUCCAAAUUAAAGCUGCAAAACAAAGCCAAAGUAAUAUCCUUAACAACACAACUCAAAAAGCAAUUACCAGGAGAUGAAAUCCAAGAAGGAAUAUCCAAGCAAAAGAGAGCUGCAAGUCGUGGAAAAAUAUUGGUACUUAAAAAGACAGUUGAGGAACUAGAAAAACAGAAUGCCUCCCCCAAAAUGAAGAGCUACAGAAAAAGAUUGGUGGUGAUGGGGAGUUGCUCACUCUCUCAGUCUCUCGACAAGAAACAGCCCAUUUCGAAAAGGAUCUAGACCAGGGGUAGUCAACCUUUUUAUACCUACUGCCCACUAACGUAUCUUUUUUGAUGGUAAAAUUUCAUUACUGCCCACCAGUGUACAAUGGAAGGAGGAUUCAGCUUGUGCCGCCCACUCAGAAUCCUGAAACGCCCACUAGUGAGUGGUAUGGACCAGGUUGACAACCCCUGAUCUAAACAGGCAACCGUCUCUCUCUGAGUCAUCCAACGGACUUGGACUCCUCUUCAACGGUCCUCCCUCCCUAGAGUUCCAGAACCCAAGCACGUGAAGUGGGCGGGGCCUGUGACAGAAGGCGUCUGUUCGCUAACCUCAGUCUCUCUCUCACAGAGGAUGCCGGGAAGUGCGGGGUGGGGAGGGGCCGGCAGUGCCGAAACUCACCUGAGGGAAGGAAGAGAGUCAGGCAGGGAGUGACGCGCUCACCGGCCCCUCAGCGAGACCCGAGUGGCAGGUGCCUCAGGGGUGCAGGUCGGACAUUUUGUGUAUACAUUGCUUCUCUUUCCUGGAAAUGCUCGCUCUCUUUAAUCUGAAUGCUUUCAAGGUUUUCCUUAUGUUCCAGGAGGUGGCUGCAUCUUUGACUUCAACUUUCUUGAUAAGGUUCUGAAUCAGAAAUUUCAUACUCUGCAAUGACGCCUCCUUUGAGGACUGACCUGCUGGGAACCUGAGGGCCCUGCCCUUCUUCUCUC